AAGCAAAAAUGCUGUUCAUUUAAGUGUCUAGAGUGAUACCUGGUCAGUAGCACUGAAUAACAUUUAUUAUUCGUGCUAUUUUAUAUUAUUAUCAUUUAAAAAAUGUUUUGUCGUUUUCCUAGUAGCUGGGACUACGGGCAUGAGCCAUUGUGCCCAGCUCGUAAAAAUAAUUACAUCAUUUAAUACAAGUAAAGGGCUUAGAGCAA
This 206-nucleotide long non-coding RNA is filed under the name Pan troglodytes (chimpanzee). RNAcentral's name for it is "long non-coding RNA NONPTRT009283". The record is from RNAcentral. Lineage: Eukaryota; Metazoa; Chordata; Mammalia; Primates; Hominidae.